GUUCGGUGAUGGAUCCCGCCAUGCGUGUACACUGAUCCAGAUGCUGCCUGGUCUUCAAGCCCCUGCUAGGCGUUCUGCUGUCGGGCUUGGCCACAGGGGCUUCUGGGUGUGAUCAGAACUAUCCCGAAGACU
Small nucleolar RNA from Chelonoidis abingdonii (Abingdon island giant tortoise), 132 nucleotides. RefSeq annotates it as small nucleolar RNA SNORD10. The record is from RefSeq and is a predicted model, not a curated record. Lineage: Eukaryota; Metazoa; Chordata; Testudines; Testudinidae.